RNAcentral lists this long non-coding RNA (841 nucleotides) under Mus musculus (house mouse). Its description in RNAcentral is "long non-coding RNA chr5:113941762-113942603". Lineage: Eukaryota; Metazoa; Chordata; Mammalia; Rodentia; Muridae. The record is from RNAcentral.
GACGGGAAUGAGCCGGGAUCGUGGGCUGCAGUGACCUCGCCAAUGUGGUUCCUUGACAUGUUGCAAACUGUAUUUUGUAUGUCCGCACACAUUUUCUUUUUCUCUCCACCAGGCUGGCCUAAAACUCACCAUGUAGCUGAAGAUGACUUCUAAUCCUUCUGCUUGCACCUCCAGUGUUGGAAUUUCCGUACGCGUGCGCAACCGUGCCUGGUUUUACGGUUUCUGGGCAUCAAAACUGAGAGCCUGGUGCAUGUCAGGCACACACUCUUAACAACCAAGCCGUAGCCCUGGCUUGCGUGUACAUAUCUGAAUGUGACUCUUGGCUGACAGUUUCCAGGUUGCCCAGGUCCUACACCCGGGUGUCCCCCCUCACGGGAUCUAAGUGGGGAAAGCCCAGAAGACUGAAGUCAUUAACACAAAUCAAGACAUGAGAGUAGAUCAGGACAUGAUGAAAACCUUACAGAGCUGAAAGCUAGUCAGCUUUUGUUUACCCUCGACGGGCUUUUCAAGUGUUCUGGGGCAGAUUUCCCUGAUGAUUUAGAGGUUGCAGCGGGGUCCCUUGGCGCAGACUGGGGUUCGGGCAAGAAGGAAGAGGAGAGACCACACUUGGCGUCCUGCGAGUCAGCGAUGGUGGAUGUGUCAGCCUCGCUGGACAGGUCCUCCGUGGAGAAGUUGAGACUUCCCAGCUUGGCAAGGGAAUGGGACCUUUUCAGCGGGGACGACACGGUGAGGCCUGCCAGGCGCAGCCGCGUCUCGAUCUCCUGCGCCCGCUGCUUCACCAGCCCAGGCUUCCCUCGGACGCUGUGGAUGCUGUCGCUGCUGGAGCUCCGGGUCAGGUUGG